UCGUACGUUCGUUCGUUCGCAUGUACGGGGUUCGCGUGUUUUUCAUAUUUUAAUCUUUAUCGUACGUGCUAUUUAGUAUGAUUCGUUUGUUCGUUCGUCCGUUCGUUCGUUCACGUCGGUUCGUCGUGUUUAUUCGCACGGUUCGCCCGUUCCUUCCGUUCGAUCUCCGCCGAUCGCAGCCGUCGCCGAACAAUUCCGUGUUUACGAUGUGCUCCGGUGGAGGUGCCGCGCGAUUAUACCGACCGAGUGUUUCGCUAUAACGACCGUGUCUGUUCUCCUUCGCCGUGAUGCAUCGUUCAAGCUGGUGCCAGUGUUCCUUCGCAUCCGCGGUUCCUGUUCCGUCGAUCGCUCCUUCCGCGCCCUGAUCUCAUCUUGCGUCGAUCUUGCGCGCCCGGGGACCCGGGAUCGUCUACUCAAAUCGUCGUGUGUGCUCUCUCCUCUCCGACGGAGUCAUCGUUCCCGCCGCUCUUUUCUCUGUAGAGUGCUCUCCUCGUUCUCUUUCUCUCUACGCCAGUGACGUACUUGCGUGCGACCGACUCUCCGCAAUUCUCUGUGAGCCCCGACGACGACCCCGGAUGAAGAUCCAGCAGUGUGAAAAAAAAAAAAAACGUUUUCUGUCUCUCUCACCAAAGUGAACACCGCGCCGCGAUGUUUCGAGAUGUUAUAACCUCGAAAAUAACGGACCUAUUAAUAAGGGGAUAAUAAGUGCGCGGCGGACGCUCUUGCGUGUGAACUUGAAGAUAGCGAAGAAAGGCCAAGAGAAAGAAAGGAGAAGAAAGAGAGAGAGAGAGAGCGGAGCGGAGCGGCCGACGUUGCAGCAAAUGAUCGCGAGGUGAGGCGGGAUCGGAAAAGGAGAGGAUCUUUCUCGGGCACCCCGGGUCGACACUCGACGCCUUUGGAUGGGAACAACGGCGGGAAGAAGCGAACAAGGAAGCGGCUGCACGCGGAGGGUAUUGAAGGAAGCGCGUCUGGCCGCGUAAAAAAGGAUCGGCGGGAAUAAAGGAGGGAGGGAAGAGAAAAGAGAGAUACCAUUCGUCGUGAUCUUCCCGUCGGAUGUGUGUGUAUGCGUAGAUCGCAGCGGAAGCGGCGACACAAAGAAGAGGCGGCGAAAGAAGAGGAAAAAGAGACGGGAGUUUCGACGGUUCUACGAGCAAUGUCUACGCAUGUGUACGGUGCCGCGUGACAGUGCACGUGGACGCGUGUGAUAGUGCCGCGGUGCAAGUGCGACAAGCGAAAGAAGACGCACAAGAGAAGGAAAACAACGAAGAGCGGGGGUAAACAAACGAAGUGCGACAAAGGAAGAGAA
Molecule: long non-coding RNA, 1306 nt
Organism: Pseudomyrmex gracilis
Lineage: Eukaryota; Metazoa; Arthropoda; Insecta; Hymenoptera; Formicidae
Exons: 3
Source: RefSeq, a predicted model, not a curated record